This 73-nucleotide transfer RNA is filed under the name Camelus bactrianus (Bactrian camel). It matches the Rfam family "tRNA". Rfam says of the family: Transfer RNA (tRNA) molecules are approximately 80 nucleotides in length. Their secondary structure includes four short double-helical elements and three loops (D, anti-codon, and T loops). The record is from Rfam by way of RNAcentral. RNAcentral also lists the same sequence under 2 other names. Lineage: Eukaryota; Metazoa; Chordata; Mammalia; Artiodactyla; Camelidae.
GAGGGUAUAGCUCAAGUGGUAGAGCUCAUGCUUGGCAUUCGUGAGGUUCCAGGUUCAAUCCCCAGUACCUCUA